UGCCAGCAGCCGCGGUAAUACGGAGGGUGCAAGCGUUAAUCGGAAUUACUGGGCGUAAAGCGCGCGUAGGCGGCUAAGUCAGUCAGAUGUGAAAGCCCCGGGCUCAACCUGGGAAGUGCACUUGAAACAGCAAGACUUGAAUACGGGAGAGGAGAGAGGAAUUCCUGGUGUAGAGGUGAAAUUCGUAGAUAUCAGGAGGAACACCGAUGGCGAAGGCAUCUCUCUGGGUCAACACUGACGCUCAGGCACGAAAGCAUGGGGAGCAAACAGGAUUAGAUA
RNAcentral lists this ribosomal RNA (279 nucleotides) under uncultured bacterium. RNAcentral's name for it is "partial 16S ribosomal RNA". It matches the Rfam family "Bacterial small subunit ribosomal RNA", at positions 506 to 784 of the family's 1533-position model. The record is from RNAcentral.